AAAUCUUGUUAUUCAAGAUUUCAUGCAGGAAAUUGGAACGCUAUAGAGAAGAUUAGCAUGGCCCCUGCACAAUGUGGCAAUUAAUGAUUAAAACAGAAAUUUAACUUUUUU
Octodon degus (degu) is the source of this 111-nucleotide small nuclear RNA. The record is from Ensembl. Lineage: Eukaryota; Metazoa; Chordata; Mammalia; Rodentia; Octodontidae.